RNAcentral lists this ribosomal RNA (286 nucleotides) under Salmonella enterica. RNAcentral describes it as "partial 16S ribosomal RNA". It matches the Rfam family "Bacterial small subunit ribosomal RNA", at positions 1050 to 1336 of the family's 1533-position model. The record is from RNAcentral. RNAcentral also lists the same sequence under 3 other names. Lineage: Bacteria; Pseudomonadati; Pseudomonadota; Gammaproteobacteria; Enterobacterales; Enterobacteriaceae.
UGUCGUCAGCUCGUGUUGUGAAAUGUUGGGUUAAGUCCCGCAACGAGCGCAACCCUUAUCCUUUGUUGCCAGCGAUUAGGUCGGGAACUCAAAGGAGACUGCCAGUGAUAAACUGGAGGAAGGUGGGGAUGACGUCAAGUCAUCAUGGCCCUUACGACCAGGGCUACACACGUGCUACAAUGGCGCAUACAAAGAGAAGCGACCUCGCGAGAGCAAGCGGACCUCAUAAAGUGCGUCGUAGUCCGGAUUGGAGUCUGCAACUCGACUCCAUGAAGUCGGAAUCGCU